CUAACACAUGCAAGCCGAGCGGUAGAGAUCUUUCGGGAUCUUGAGAGCGGCGUACGGGUGCGGAACACGUGUGCAACCUGCCUUUAUCUGGGGGAUAGCCUUUCGAAAGGAAGAUUAAUACCCCAUAAUAUGUUGGAUGGCAUCAUUCGACAUUGAAAACUCCGGUGGAUAGAGAUGGGCACGCGCAAGAUUAGAUAGUUGGUGAGGUAACGGCUCACCAAGUCUGCGAUCUUUAGGGGGCCUGAGAGGGUGAUCCCCCACACUGGUACUGAGACACGGACCAGACUCCUACGGGAGGCAGCAGUGAGGAAUAUUGGACAAUGGGUGAGAGCCUGAUCCAGCCAUCCCGCGUGAAGGACGACCGCCCUAUGGGUUGUAAACUUCUUUUGUAUUGGGAUA
This 399-nucleotide ribosomal RNA is filed under the name bacterium Urfm98. RNAcentral's name for it is "bacterial SSU rRNA". It matches the Rfam family "Bacterial small subunit ribosomal RNA", at positions 48 to 448 of the family's 1533-position model. The record is from RNAcentral.